This is a long non-coding RNA of Apis dorsata (giant honeybee), 2410 nucleotides long. RefSeq lists it as uncharacterized. NCBI's taxonomy places the organism in Eukaryota, Metazoa, Arthropoda, Insecta, Hymenoptera, Apidae. The record is from RefSeq and is a predicted model, not a curated record. The transcript is spliced from 4 exons.
GGCUUACUUAACCUGUGGCGCGUGGCGUCAUUGUAGUGUCGAAAAUUGUGGUGGAAAGACGUGUUCGCCGUGACUCCGAUCCAGAUUUCUUACUGCGCAAUCAUUAACUGAUCGAAGAAGGUGAUUGAACGAACAAAAAACGAACAAAAGACGCCAUGACACCGACGCCAACCGUUAACAAUUUAUACAUCGAAACGCAGUAAUAUUUGAUUUAUUACAACACGGCAGACGUAUGUAAAUUUAUAUUUUCUUUUUAUUGGAUCAUUGGUGAAAAAAAUUUGAUAUACAAUACGUAAUAAAUAAUUCAUACGUAAUUAAAUAAUAAUUUUCACAAUCGAGAAUAUUACGAUGAAAGUGGAAAAAAUCGAAUUACCUUCUUAUUUCGAGUUUAUUAAAUUAUUUCUUCGUGUUAUUUCAUAUUUUCGAAUAUAUUAAAUAAAUUAUUUCAUUAUUCGACAAUAAAAUCAUUAGAUAUCGUAACAUUUCGAUCGCAAAUUUUAUUUCGUAACAUCGUAUUUUAUUUCGAAAUCUACGUCGCAACUUUAUUAUUGGGGCGGGGGGGGGGGGGAAAAGGGAGUGCAGGAACAGACAGGUUCAGACACGUUUCGACGCGAAGAUAAACAUGGCGUCUGUAUUGUAUUGUCAUACUUGCCUGAGGCAUGUUUGACUAAGGAAUUUCGAUUCAUCGUGAUAUUCUCGAACUAUUUAUAAAAAAACUAUAUAUUUUAUUCUUAAAAAUUGUAUUUUAUUCUCUGAUUACAAACAUUCAUAAUAUUUUUUCAUUUGUAUUGAUAUUAUCGUAUUUAUCGACAUGAAGAAAUUUUUUAUCGCAAAUAAUUUUAGAAAGGUAGCAGUAUUUUUCAGUACAAGUGCUCAAUAGAAAAAGAAAAAAUAUUUUUUCUUUUUUUUUCUACCCCUUCUUAAUAAUAGUUUUUUUUUCAGAAUAUUUUUGUGAUCGCGCGCAAUGCGGUCAAUAGAGUCAGUGUUUGUUACGUAAUAGUAUUUUUCAUAUUUUUUAGAGCACAAAAGCUCUGAUUAAAUUUAAUUAUUAUAUUUAAAAUCGCGAAAAUAGAGUCAGUGUUUGUUCGCCGAUUGAAAUUUAACGGACGUGUUAAUAAUCUUUUAUUUUAUUAUUAUUUUUUUUAAUAUUCGUUUUCGGUAUAUAUUAGAGUCAGUGUCUCAAGAAAAUAAGGCGAUCAUCCAUCACGCGAAGAGAUCCUGAUAAUAGUGACAGUUCUUCUGGGUUUCAAUCCCCAAAAAUAUUUGUGAUCGCGUGCAAUGCGGUCGAUAGAGUCAGUGUUUGUUACGUAAUAGUAUUUUUAAUAUUUUUUAGAGCAUAAAAGCUCUAAUUAAAUUUAAUUAUUAUAUUCAUUCGCGAAAGUAGAAUCAGUGUUUGCCGAUCGAAAUUUGAACGGCUGUGUGUGGUAGUCUUUUUUUUAUUUAUUUAUUUUUUUUUUUAAUAUUCGUUUUCGGUGUACAUUCGGUAUACAUAGAGUCAGUGCAUCAAGAAAACAAGGCGAUCAUCCAUCACGCGAAGAGUUUCCAUUUCCUUCUACUUGAUGAGAUGACUUCCUAUGGCAAUGCAGAUUCUUCGCAUGUAUGGUGAGUCGCAUGCAUUUUGAUUCCUCCGGUCACUCAAUCAUGUCGUAGGGUGAAAGAUCCGAAUCGACACGGGUGACUGGUUGUAUACGUAGAAUUUUGCACGAGCACAGUGACCGCGGAUAUAUUUAUUAUAUCCGUGAGUAAUAACAUUAUUUUGUUCGUUUUUAUUUAUUAGUUUAGGCUAGGUUUUCUUGCAUAUCGCGAUUACCAUGAGUAAUAUUAUAUUGAUCAUUAAUUAUAAAUUAAUAUUGUCCAUAUUAGUAAUUAAAAUAUGCGAAAGCUAUAAUAUUUGUAAUUAAGUUGAGUAUCUUUAGUUGACAAUAUAUUCGCUAGAGUUAUUUGUAGAAUCACAUUGAUAAAAGCCAAACAUUCAUACAAAUAACAAAUUAUUGAAAUGACUUCAAUUAGAUAUUCCGUAAUGGACAAAGUAAAUAUCCAUAUAAAAUUUACGCGAAAUUAUUGCAAUUAUUAUAUAAGGAUAACACAUAUUAUCAAUGAUAUGUUCCAUUUUAUGAUAAUAUUUUUAUCGAUUUUAUUAAUCAAAUUUUCAUUUUAUAAAUUUUAAUAUAAUUUGAAAUAUAAUAAUAUUAAAAUUCAAUUUAUUUCGUUCAAAAAAUGUAUGAAAUUUUAUAUGCAAGAAGACACUUCGCGACAGGUAGAUUUUGAAAUCAAAGCUACAAAUUUUGAAUAUUUUUUCGAGUUUUAGAAAAUAUGCUUUGAUAGAGGAAUCACCUGAGGAUAUUUUUAUUAAUAUUUAACUUCAAUAUUUAUUAUUAAUUAAAUUCAUUGUAUCUUAAUUUUUUUAAAU